This is a long non-coding RNA of Entelurus aequoreus (snake pipefish), 931 nucleotides long. RefSeq lists it as uncharacterized. The transcript has 6 exons. NCBI's taxonomy places the organism in Eukaryota, Metazoa, Chordata, Actinopteri, Syngnathiformes, Syngnathidae. The record is from RefSeq and is a predicted model, not a curated record.
UGUUCCGGGGGACCCCGACUCCAGAAUGUGAAAGUUUCCCGCGUGAAGCCGGUGAGUAAAAAGUUCAAUACAGUUAACUUAGGCCAUCUUUUGUUAGACGCUGUGAAUGUGUGUAGGUUACAUGCUACGAUAUUCCACAUAUUUCCAACUGCUUGAAACGAAAGCGUAUUACUUUAUUGUCAGUGUUGUUUAGGCCCAGGUCGCUAACGUUACUGCGUUAGUCAACAACGUAACGUUAACGGAGUGGAAACAGCCGUUCUUUGCCAUUAAUAUGAGUGUGUAUUAUUUCUUUCUUUGUUCUUUAGUGGAGCUCGAGAUCCUGUUUACUGUGGACUAGCUGUGUGUGACGCCAUGUUGUUUUUGUUUACAUUAAAAAAAAAAGCUCCACCGUCUCGCCGAGUGCCAGCAAGAGUCAUGAGUACUUGUCAACUCGACUCCUCAACUGGAGAUAACUUUCUAGCACCUCACCAUGGGGAAGGACGCAUUCAUAUGCCUUCACCAGCACCUGCAUUAAACAUGCAGAGAGUUACACAAGGAACGGCAGUCCCUCCUCGACUCCCUCCACCCCCCUCACCAGCAGCCCUCAACAUGUGGCAGACAGAGGAGCCUGGAUCCAGCCUGGCCUACAGGCCAACAUAGCGAGGGGAAAGAAUGGCCGACAACAUUUCCUGCUCUGCGCCUGAGGUAAUCCACAUCUUUAGCCUGCUGGAAACUAUUAAGCACAACCAAGACCAGCUGAUUGCGAAGGUGCUGUGAGUAAAAAUGUGUUGACAAGGUCAGCCACGGACGCUGAGGUCACCAAACACGCCAUCAGGUGGUUCAACUUGGCGGGGGAUCGGGCAACGAGGAGACGAGUCCCGCUUCCACCUCCUCAGGAGGAAUAGAGAUGUAUAUGUAUAAAUAAACAACCUUUUAUUGGACUUCUUGUCAU